RNAcentral lists this ribosomal RNA (489 nucleotides) under uncultured bacterium. RNAcentral describes it as "partial 16S ribosomal RNA". It matches the Rfam family "Bacterial small subunit ribosomal RNA", at positions 30 to 506 of the family's 1533-position model. The record is from RNAcentral.
AUUGAACGCUGGCGGCAGGCCUAACACAUGCAAGUCGAACGGUAACAGGAGGAAGCUUGCUUCUUUGCUGACGAGUGGCGGACGGGUGAGUAAUGUCUGGGAAACUGCCUGAUGGAGGGGGAUAACUACUGGAAACGGUAGCUAAUACCGCAUAACGUCGCAAGACCAAAGAGGGGGACCUUCGGGCCUCUUGCCAUCGGAUGUGCCCAGAUGGGAUUAGCUAGUAGGUGGGGUAACGGCUCACCUAGGCGACGAUCCCUAGCUGGUCUGAGAGGAUGACCAGCCACACUGGAACUGAGACACGGUCCAGACUCCUACGGGAGGCAGCAGUGGGGAAUAUUGCACAGUGGGCGCAAGCCUGAUGCAGCCAUGCCGCGUGUAUGAAGAAGGCCUUCGGGUUGUAAAGUACUUUCAGCGGGGAGGAAGGGAGUAAAGUUAAUACCUUUGCUCAUUGACGUUACCCGCAGAAGAAGCACCGGCUAACUCCGU